CCGGCGCACGGUGCGUAACGCGUAUGCAACCUACCUUUAACAGGGGAGUAACACUGAGAAAUUGGUACUAAUACCCCAUAAUAUCAUAGAAGGCAUCUUUUAUGGUUGAAAAUUCCGAUGGUUAGAGAUGGGCAUGCGUUGUAUUAGCUAGUUGGUGGGGUAACGGCUCACCAAGGCUCCGAUCGGUAUCCGGCCUGAGAGGGCGGACGGACACACUGGGACUGAGACACGGCCCAG
RNAcentral lists this ribosomal RNA (237 nucleotides) under uncultured bacterium. RNAcentral describes it as "partial 16S ribosomal RNA". It matches the Rfam family "Bacterial small subunit ribosomal RNA", at positions 95 to 334 of the family's 1533-position model. The record is from RNAcentral.